This 498-nucleotide ribosomal RNA is filed under the name Aeromonas allosaccharophila. RNAcentral describes it as "bacterial SSU rRNA". It matches the Rfam family "Bacterial small subunit ribosomal RNA", at positions 8 to 493 of the family's 1533-position model. Lineage: Bacteria; Pseudomonadati; Pseudomonadota; Gammaproteobacteria; Aeromonadales; Aeromonadaceae. The record is from RNAcentral.
AGAGUUUGAUCCAUGGCUCAGAUUGAACGCUGGCGGCAGGCCUAACACAUGCAAGUCGAGCGGCAGCGGGAAAGUAGCUUGCUACUUUUGCCGGCGAGCGGCGGACGGGUGAGUAAUGCCUGGGGAUCUGCCCAGUCGAGGGGGAUAACAGUUGGAAACGACUGCUAAUACCGCAUACGCCCUACGGGGGAAAGCAGGGGACCUUCGGGCCUUGCGCGAUUGGAUGAACCCAGGUGGGAUUAGCUAGUUGGUGAGGUAAUGGCUCACCAAGGCGACGAUCCCUAGCUGGUCUGAGAGGAUGAUCAGCCACACUGGAACUGAGACACGGUCCAGACUCCUACGGGAGGCAGCAGUGGGGAAUAUUGCACAAUGGGGGAAACCCUGAUGCAGCCAUGCCGCGUGUGUGAAGAAGGCCUUCGGGUUGUAAAGCACUUUCAGCGAGGAGGAAAGGUUGGUAGCGAAUAACUGCCAGCUGUGACGUACUCGCAGAAGAAGCAC